UGAACCUCUCCGGUUCACUCUCUCAGAACUGCGAACCACAACAUCCUCCUCCGUUCGAGGCAUCUCCUCCCUUCUCCUCCGUUAGACAACUUCUCCCCGUCCAGGCUCCUCCCUCAUUCCUUCUCCUCCGCUCCUUCUCCUGGGUCUGAAAAGAAAAGAGCUGCAGAUUACGGUGGCUCAGUUAUCUCCUCCCCGAUGUCCGUCGUGCCAACAUCACCUUUGAAGAACAGGUUCUGGUUCUUGAGCUUCACCCUCGCUGGGGUAACAGGAUGAUUUGGAGUCAGAAAAAAAAAAUCCCUAAUUUUCUCUGCUUCUUGAGAUCAACGUGGCUUCCUCGAGGAUUUUCACUGUGAUUUCUUGCUUCAAACCGCAAUGCAUUGAUGGAUACUCUAUAUAAAAGGAGCAAUUUUGGAUGAUGAGAAAAGAGGAGUUACCACAAUGCUUGAGGUCGCCAACCCCAAGAUUGGAGCUGCUUCAACUUGACAAGGGUUGUAUUGGACAUAAGCUAUUCUUAAAGUAGCUGUAGCACCUUAGAAUUUUAGAGGUGAUCUGAUCGGAGGCCGUUUGCAGAUAACGAUUCUCAAUUUCUUGAGUACACCAGUAAAGGUUCUUUAUCUUCAUUUCUCAUUGACAUUUGUUUUUCCUUGAUAACGUAGUUGACAGUUCUUUUAGCCUGUUAUUAUAUAAUUACUGUUAACAAUGACUUUUAGAGAGAGAGAGAGAGAGAGAGAGGGAGGGAUGGAUAUACCAAAUGAUGCAUGUUCAAGGAGUACUCCAACAACAUUAUUGGAAUUUUAUAACAAUACUUGCCAUAAUUUUGGUAAGGAAUCAGUUGACAGUGUGGGGUUCGUAGAUUUGGAUUUGGCAUUCUCUGAUAUUAACCAAGGAGUGGAAAUUUUGAUUGGUUUGAUUGGUAAUUUGGGUAUGUUGUUUGCAUUCAACAUUCUAUAAUUAUGAGAGAAACCGAGAUCAUCGUAUUAUAUAUUUUAUCAGCAUUCAACAUUUAUAAUUGUGAACUAUCUUUGUGGGUUUAUCAAUUUAUUUUUAUGGUUUUCAA
This is a long non-coding RNA of Pyrus x bretschneideri (Chinese white pear), 1057 nucleotides long. RefSeq lists it as uncharacterized. Lineage: Eukaryota; Viridiplantae; Streptophyta; Magnoliopsida; Rosales; Rosaceae. The record is from RefSeq and is a predicted model, not a curated record. The transcript has 5 exons.